GAUGAACGCUGGCGGCGUGCUUAACACAUGCAAGUCGAACGAGUGGCGAACGGGUGAGUAACACGUGAGCAAUCUGCCCCUGACUCUGGGAUAACAGCUGGAAACAGCUGCUAAUACCGGAUAGUCAGGGAUGAGCACGCGGCCUAUCAGCGUGUUGGUGAGGUAAUGGUCACCAAGGCGCGACGUGUAGCCGGCCUGAGAGGGUGACCGGACACACUGGGACUGAGACACGGCCCAGACUCCUACGGGAGGCAGCAGGGGGGAUUAUUGCACGAUGGGCGAAAGCCUGAUGUAGCAGCGCCGAGUGAGGGACGACGGCCUUCGGGUUGUAAACCUCUUUAAGCAAGGAAGCGGUACUUGCAGAAAAAGCGCCGGCUAACUACGGGCCAGCAGCCGCGGUAAUUC
This 405-nucleotide ribosomal RNA is filed under the name uncultured bacterium. RNAcentral's name for it is "partial 16S ribosomal RNA". It matches the Rfam family "Bacterial small subunit ribosomal RNA", at positions 28 to 526 of the family's 1533-position model. The record is from RNAcentral.